GGUCCCUACGGGAGGCAGCAGUGGGGAAUAUUGCACAAUGGGGGAAACCCUGAUGCAGCGACGCCGCGUGAGUGAAGAAGUAAUUCGUUAUGUAAAGCUCUAUCAGCAGGGAAGAAAAUGACGGUACCUGAGUAAGAAGCCCCGGCUAACUACGUGCCAGCAGCCGCGGUAAUACGUAGGGGGCAAGCGUUAUCCGGAUUUACUGGGUGUAAAGGGAGCGUAGGAGGCAGGGCAAGUCAGAUGCGAA
RNAcentral lists this ribosomal RNA (247 nucleotides) under uncultured bacterium. RNAcentral describes it as "partial 16S ribosomal RNA". It matches the Rfam family "Bacterial small subunit ribosomal RNA", at positions 334 to 598 of the family's 1533-position model. The record is from RNAcentral.